This is a small nucleolar RNA of Equus asinus (donkey), 134 nucleotides long. Its record names the gene SNORA72. It matches the Rfam family "Small nucleolar RNA SNORA72". Rfam says of the family: U72 is a member of the H/ACA class of snoRNAs. The snoRNA gene is located in intron 4 of the ribosomal L30 protein gene in human, mouse and chicken. NCBI's taxonomy places the organism in Eukaryota, Metazoa, Chordata, Mammalia, Perissodactyla, Equidae. The record is from Ensembl.
CUGCGAAUAUUCUCGCUGUUCUGAUUCUGUAAUAAUCAGGGCAGGCUAAACAUUCGCUAUAUUAAAAUACCAUGCAUGUGUCCCCAGACCUAGUUCUUUCCCUAGAUCUGGUUUUAUAAAUGCUGGUGAUAAAC